Molecule: ribosomal RNA, 406 nt
Filed under: uncultured bacterium
Lineage: Bacteria
Description: partial 16S ribosomal RNA
Rfam family: Bacterial small subunit ribosomal RNA
Source: RNAcentral
AUUGAACGCUGGCGGCAGGCCUAACACAUGCAAGUCGAACGCGUGGCGGACGGGUGAGUAAGGUCUGGGAAACUGCCUGAUGGAGGGGGAUAACUACUGGAAAAGGUAGCUAAUACCGCAUACCAUCAGAUGUGCCCAGAUGGGAUUAGCUAGUUGGUGGGGUAACGGCUCCUCAAGACGACGAUCCCUAUCUGGUCUGAGAGGAUGACCAGCCACACGGGAACUGAGACACGGUCCAGCCUCCUACGGUAGGCAGCAGUGGGUAAUAUUGCACAAUGGGCGAAAGUCUGAUGCAGCAAUGCCGCGUGUAUGAAGAAGGCCUUCGGGUUGUAAAGUUCUUUCAGCGGGGAGGCGUUACCCGCAGAAGAAGCACCGGCUAACUCCGUGCCAGCAGCCGCGGUAAUUC